This 329-nucleotide unclassified non-coding RNA is filed under the name soil metagenome. RNAcentral describes it as "partial contains 5.8S ribosomal RNA, internal transcribed spacer 2, and large subunit ribosomal RNA". The stretch from base 1 to 120 matches the Rfam family "5.8S ribosomal RNA", at positions 35 to 154 of the family's 154-position model. The record is from RNAcentral.
GAUGAAGAACGUAGCGAAAUGCGAUAAGUAAUGUGAAUUGCAGAAUUCAGUGAAUCAUCGAAUCUUUGAACGCACAUUGCGCCCCCUGGUAUUCCGGGGGGCAUGCCUGUCCGAGCGUCAUUACAACCCUCAAGCUCAGCUUGGUGUUGGGCCCCGCCGCCCCGGCGGGCCCUAAAGUCAGUGGCGGUGCCGUCCGGCUCCGAGCGUAGUAAUUCUUCUCGCUCUGGAGGUCCGGUCGUGUGCUCGCCAGCAACCCCCAAUUUUUUUCAGGUUGACCUCGGAUCAGGUAGGGAUACCCGCUGAACUUAAGCAUAUCAAUCAGCGGAGGA